This is a long non-coding RNA of Physeter macrocephalus (sperm whale), 1416 nucleotides long. RefSeq lists it as uncharacterized. The record is from RefSeq and is a predicted model, not a curated record. NCBI's taxonomy places the organism in Eukaryota, Metazoa, Chordata, Mammalia, Artiodactyla, Physeteridae. The transcript has 3 exons.
AAAGGAGAGCUCAGGCUUCCAGAGGACGGGAGAAAUAUUUUACUUUAAUUCCUUCCAGGGUCUUUAAAGAGAUAAUUAAGUUCAAAUGAGGUCGCUGAGGUGGGCCCUAAUCCAAUAUGACUGGUGUCUUUAUAAGAAGAGGAAAUUUAAGACACAGAGACGUACAGAGGAGGAGCAUGUGAAGACACAGGGAGAAGACAAAAAUCUGCAGGCCAGGGAGAGAGGCCUCCUGCCGACACCUUGAUCUCAGACUUUCAACCUCCAGAACCGUCCAUCUGUGACAAUCAGAAGAAGAAGCUGCUGUGAAACCUUUAUCACUCAAUCUUCUUUUUUCUCAGUAAAUCAUUUCAAGAUAAUCUCAUUUUCCAAGAGGAAAAAAAGAUGGGAACCCAAUGAUAGGACUUGGACUCUUGAUUUCGGUCUAAUUACUGUACACCAGCUACUGUGAACACAGUCCGUGCCUGAAGUCAGCUGGCAGAGAGGCUCAUCUUGAUGGCACUGACCCAGCGGCACUGGUUUUGGAUCCGACAGUGCCAGGCACUUGUCCCCGUUCAGAAGUUCAUCAGGCAGUUUCCAACGACCCGGAGGAGUUAAACGACACGGGAGCCCCAGGGCCAACGGUGGCCAAGAAAGUCCAAACACUAUUUCAAUCCACGGUGUUACCCCAUCCGCUCCCUUCUGUGUCUGUCACCUCCCUUUAUUCACAGCAGCUGUAGGACAUUUCUAUGGUAAGGUGGCAGCAUCCUGUUUCACUGGAACAGCGAUACGUGUGAAGUGAGAAGGCUGUGUUCACGGCAAAUGUGGCGAAAACAGUGAUGGUGCUUUUCCCCCAUUAAACUUCACUGUUUAUCAGGAAGCUGUUUAGGAUGAAGGCUUAAAACCCAAUCAGAAUGGGAUGGGGUUAUAUAAACACUUCCUUUGCACCUACACACAUCCUUGGGGCUAAAACUAAACCCUAAGACAAUUAAAUAAUGAUAAAAGUGGAAUGGAUGUAAGAACUGCCUGGUUCAGUGAUUCCAUAUCCUGCUGGAUUAGGAUCAGCUGCGGAGCUGGCCAGGGUCCCACUCCCUGAGAUUCUUGUUCGGUCGCUCUAAGGAGGGAGAGGGAGGGUUACUCUGAGCUUUUAAAAGAAAACACGUGUUAAUCAUCUGCCCAGGUGACUUUAAUGUCUAACCAGGUUGGAGACCAUUGAUCUAUUUCAGCCUCCUUACUUUAAGCUUGAGGCCCAGAAAAGGGGAGUAACUUUUGAAAGGUCACACAGCUAAUUAGUGACAAAGCCAAAACAACAAAACUGGCAUUAAGCAGCACUGCAGGUUUUAAGAGGUUUUCUUAACUUCACCUGGUAACCCCAGUUGGCACAAAUGUUCAUUUAUGGUCUUAGAAAACAAGGUAGAAAGUCUGCAGGCUUCUGACUAG